This 450-nucleotide ribosomal RNA is filed under the name uncultured bacterium. Its description in RNAcentral is "bacterial SSU rRNA". It matches the Rfam family "Bacterial small subunit ribosomal RNA", at positions 354 to 796 of the family's 1533-position model. The record is from RNAcentral.
GUGGGGAAUAUUGGACAAUGGGCGCAAGCCUGAUCCAGCCAUACCGCGUGGGUGAAGAAGGCCUUCGGGUUGUAAAGCCCUUUUGUUGGGAAAGAAAAGCAGUCGGUUAAUACCCGAUUGUUCUGACGGUACCCAAAGAAUAAGCACCGGCUAACUUCGUGCCAGCAGCCGCGGUAAUACGAAGGGUGCAAGCGUUACUCGGAAUUACUGGGCGUAAAGCGUGCGUAGGUGGUGGUUUAAGUCCGUUGUGAAAGCCCUGGGCUCAACCUGGGAAUUGCAGUGGAUACUGGGUCACUAGAGUGUGGUAGAGGAUAGUGGAAUUUCCGGUGUAGCAGUGAAAUGCGUAGAGAUCGGAAGGAACAUCUGUGGCGAAGGCGACUAUCUGGGCCAACACUGACACUGAGGCACGAAAGCGUGGGGAGCAAACAGGAUUAGAUACCCGUGUAGUCC